AUUGAACGCUGGCGGCAGGCCUAACACAUGCAAGUCGAGCGAGAAAGGUCUUCGGACUGAGUACAGCGGCGGACGGGUGAGUAAAGCGUAGGAAUCUACCUGGUAGUGGGGGAUAACUUGGGGAAACUCAAACUAAUACCGCAUACGCCCUACGGGGAAAGGCGGGGACCGUUCGGGCCUCGCGCUAUCAGAUGAGCCUGCGUAGGAUUAGCUAGUUGGUGAGGUAAAGGCUCACCAAGGCGACGAUCCUUAGCUGGUCUGAGAGGAUGAUCAGCCACACUGGGACUGAGACACGGCCCAGACUCCUACGGGAGGCAGCAGUGGGGAAUAUUGCGCAAUGGGCGAAAGCCUGACGCAGCCAUGCCGCGUGUGUGAAGAAGG
RNAcentral lists this ribosomal RNA (381 nucleotides) under uncultured bacterium. RNAcentral describes it as "bacterial SSU rRNA". It matches the Rfam family "Bacterial small subunit ribosomal RNA", at positions 29 to 414 of the family's 1533-position model. The record is from RNAcentral.